This 398-nucleotide ribosomal RNA is filed under the name bacterium enrichment culture clone ALO1_GLFRUDD03G1QKX. RNAcentral describes it as "bacterial SSU rRNA". It matches the Rfam family "Bacterial small subunit ribosomal RNA", at positions 9 to 406 of the family's 1533-position model. The record is from RNAcentral.
GAGUUUGAUCAUGGCUCAGAUUGAACGCUGGCGGCAUGCCUUACACAUGCAAGUCGAACGGCAGCACGGGAGCUUGCUCCUGGUGGCGAGUGGCGAACGGGUGAGUAAUGCAUCGGAACGUAUCCUGGAGUGGGGGAUAACGUAGCGAAAGUUACGCUAAUACCGCAUAUUCUGUGAGCAGGAAAGCGGGGGACCUUCGGGCCUCGCGCUCUUGGAGCGGCCGAUGUCGGAUUAGCUAGUUGAUGAGGUAAAGGCUCACCAAGGCGACGAUCCGUAGCAGGUCUGAGAGGAUGAUCUGCCACACUGGAACUGAGACACGGUCCAGACUCCUACGGGAGGCAGCAGUGGGGAAUUUUGGACAAGUGGGGGCAACCCUGAUCCAGCCAUGCCGCGUGAGU